Pistacia vera is the source of this 236-nucleotide long non-coding RNA. RefSeq lists it as uncharacterized. NCBI's taxonomy places the organism in Eukaryota, Viridiplantae, Streptophyta, Magnoliopsida, Sapindales, Anacardiaceae. The record is from RefSeq and is a predicted model, not a curated record. The transcript is spliced from 4 exons.
AGGGUUUCUACUAUGAUGCAUUUUAUGGUGACUUGGGCUUGAAUCAGGACCACUUUAAGUCAAUUGAUGCAGGGGCAGCGAAAGCUGUUGUGGAAAAGCAGCCUUUUGACGCAUUGAAGUAACAAAAGAACAGGCUCUUGAGAUGUUUUCUGAUAAUAGUUUCAAGGUUGAGAUCAUCAAUGACCUACCUGCCGACAAAACUAUUACAGUAUAUAGAUGCGGUCCCUUGGUUGACU